RNAcentral lists this ribosomal RNA (882 nucleotides) under uncultured archaeon. RNAcentral describes it as "bacterial SSU rRNA". It matches the Rfam family "Archaeal small subunit ribosomal RNA", at positions 21 to 911 of the family's 1478-position model. The record is from RNAcentral.
ACCCGACUGCUAUCAGAGUGAGAUUAAGCCAUGCGAGUCAACGUAGCAAUACGUGGCAUACGGCUCAGUAACACGUAGUCAACAUAACCAAAGGACGUGGAUAAACUCGGGAAACUGAGGCUAAACCGCGAUAGAUCAAGAUACCUGGAAUGGUUUUUGAUCAAAAUCUAUAUGGCCUUUGGAUUGGACUGCGUCCGAUCAGGCUGUUGGUGAGGUAAUGGCCCACCAAACCUAUAACCGGUACGGGCUCUGAGAGGAGGAGCCCGGAGAUGGGUACUGAGAUAAGGACCCAGGCCCUAUGGGGCGCAGCAGGCGCGAAACCUCUGCAAUAGGCGAAAGCUUGACAGGGUUACUCUGAGUGACUUUCGUUAAGAAAGUCUUUUGACACCUCUAAAAAUGGUGUAGAAUAAGGGGUGGGCAAGUCUGGUGUCAGCCGCCGCGGUAAUACCAGCACCCCGAGUGGUCGGGACGAUUAUUGGGCCUAAAGCAUCCGUAGCCGGCCUUACAAGUCCUCCGUUAAAUCCAGCUGCUUAACAGAUGGGCUGCGGAGGAUACUAUAAGACUAGGAGGCAGGAGAGGCAAGCGGUACUCAGUGGGUAGGGGUAAAAUCCGUUGAUCCAUUGAAGACCACCAGUGGCGAAGGCGGCUUGCCAGAAUGCGCUCGACGGUGAGGGAUGAAAGCUGGGGGAGCAAACCGGAUUAGAUACCCGGGUAGUCCCAGCCGUAAACGAUGCAGACUCGGUGAUGGACUAGCUUUAUGCUGGUCCAGUGCCGCAGGGAAGCCGUUAAGUCUGCCGCCUGGGUAGUACGGUCGCAAGACUGAGACUUAAAGGAAUUGGCGGGGGAGCACCACAAGGGGUGAAGCCUGCGGUUCAAUUGGAU